RNAcentral lists this long non-coding RNA (298 nucleotides) under Elaeis guineensis (African oil palm). Its description in RNAcentral is "long non-coding RNA (EGUI_LNC078797)". Lineage: Eukaryota; Viridiplantae; Streptophyta; Magnoliopsida; Arecales; Arecaceae. The record is from RNAcentral.
GACAAUCAAUGCAUAUGGCACACAACGACCUACACUUGAUAUCGCUAUCAUCCUAGUAAUAGCGUAUCAUUUGGUUGCGAACCAAUUUAAGGACUAUAUGAUAAAUCAUCCUUUAUCGAUCAAAGUAGUCUUAAGGACUUCAUCACAAUAUAAGAGUUUGUUAGAAGAUAUAACCUUAUAAUAAAAAAUAUCAAAUAACUUUUAUUAUUUAUCAAUUCAUAUAUAUUUAUAAUUAGGACAACCAUUAAAUGAUUGACUUUAGGACACAAUUUCUAAUAGUGCCAACCCUUUAGCCCAU